UAGGGAAUCUUCCGCAAUGGACGCAAGUCUGACGGAGCAACGCCGCGUGAGUGAAGAAGGAUUUCGGUUCGUAAAACUCUGUUGUUAGAGAAGAACAGCGCAUAGAGUAACUGUUAUGCGUGUGACGGUAUCUAACCAGAAAGCCACGGCUAACUACGUGCCAGCAGCCGCGGUAAUACGUAGGUGGCAAGCGUUGUCCGGAUUUAUUGGGCGUAAAGCGAGCGCAGGCGGUCAAUUAAGUCUGAUGUGAAAGCCCCCGGCUCAACCGGGGAGGGUCAUUGGAAACUGGUUUACUUGAGUGCAGAUGAGGAGAGUGGAAUUCCAUGUGUAGCGGUGAAAUGCGUAGAUAUAUGGAGGAGCACCAGUGGCGAAGGCGACUCUCUAGUCUGUAACUGACGCUGAGGCUCGAAAGCGUGGGUAGCAAACAGG
This 429-nucleotide ribosomal RNA is filed under the name Bacteroidota bacterium. RNAcentral describes it as "Bacteroidetes bacterium partial 16S ribosomal RNA". It matches the Rfam family "Bacterial small subunit ribosomal RNA", at positions 355 to 776 of the family's 1533-position model. The record is from RNAcentral. Lineage: Bacteria; Pseudomonadati; Bacteroidota.